Molecule: ribosomal RNA, 21 nt
Filed under: Trebouxia sp. H7.14.28
Lineage: Eukaryota; Viridiplantae; Chlorophyta; Trebouxiophyceae; Trebouxiales; Trebouxiaceae
Description: partial 26S ribosomal RNA
Source: RNAcentral
AGGUCAGGCAAGAACACCCGC